This 362-nucleotide long non-coding RNA is filed under the name Medicago truncatula (barrel medic). RNAcentral's name for it is "long non-coding RNA (MTRU_LNC008787)". The record is from RNAcentral. Lineage: Eukaryota; Viridiplantae; Streptophyta; Magnoliopsida; Fabales; Fabaceae.
AAAAUAGUUCCUUAUACGUACGAGAUAUCACAUUCACAGCUGUAUGGUGUAAGAAAUUAUUAAUGACCUGCCUCCACAACGUGACAACUCUUGAUUUCUGGACUCCAUCCACAUAUAUGAAACUGACACUAUCAAUUGUAAAUCACAAAUACACUACUACAAUAGAAAAUUUCCAUAUCAUACGAUAAAAAAAACAACUAAUAUUCUUAUUUUGACCAAGUUAUCAUUAGUCAGACACUACAUUAAGUUGACACUAUUAAAUGUAGCUACUUCUCCAUAUAGAAAUUCAAACCAAGGUAGCCAAGUUGUAGGACUAUGAAUCUAAUCCUUUUUCAGGAUACUUUUCAUGCAAGAUCAAUCAA